This 305-nucleotide ribosomal RNA is filed under the name uncultured bacterium. RNAcentral's name for it is "bacterial SSU rRNA". It matches the Rfam family "Bacterial small subunit ribosomal RNA", at positions 335 to 638 of the family's 1533-position model. The record is from RNAcentral.
CUUCCUACGGGGGGCAGCAGUGAGGAAUAUUGGUCAAUGGGCGAGAGCCUGAACCAGCCAAGUCGCGUGAGGGAGUACUGCCCUAUGGGUUGUAAACCUCUUUUGUCGGGGAACAAAGGCGCCCACGGGUGGGCGGAUGAGUGUACCCGAAGAAAAAGCAUCGGCUAACUCCGUGCCAGCAGCCGCGGUAAUACGGAGGAUGCGAGCGUUAUCCGGAUUUAUUGGGUUUAAAGGGUGCAUAGGCGGACGGUCAAGUCAGCGGUAAAAAUGCGGUGCUCAACGCCGUACAGCCGUUGAAACUGGCA